RNAcentral lists this ribosomal RNA (253 nucleotides) under uncultured bacterium. RNAcentral describes it as "partial 16S ribosomal RNA". It matches the Rfam family "Bacterial small subunit ribosomal RNA", at positions 524 to 776 of the family's 1533-position model. The record is from RNAcentral.
UACGUAGGUGGCGAGCGUUGUCCGGAUUUAUUGGGCGUAAAGAGCCCGCAGGCGGCUUGGUAAGUUUUGGGUGAAAUCUCCCGGCUCAACUGGGAGGGCGCCCGGAAAACUACCAGGCUUGAGGCAGGGAGAGGGAUGUGGAAUUCCCGGUGUAGUGGUGAAAUGCUUAGAUAUCGUCAAGAACACCUAUAGCGAAGGCAGCUUACUAGGCUGUAACUGACGCUGAGGCACGAAAGUGUGGGGAGCAAACAGG